This is a long non-coding RNA of Pangasianodon hypophthalmus (striped catfish), 1074 nucleotides long. RefSeq lists it as uncharacterized. The record is from RefSeq and is a predicted model, not a curated record. The transcript has 3 exons. NCBI's taxonomy places the organism in Eukaryota, Metazoa, Chordata, Actinopteri, Siluriformes, Pangasiidae.
UAAUUUACCUGCUGGAAGUUUCUAGACAGGUAGGACUCUGUGCUUCACCAGCGUUAAUGUCUAAUGUGUUCAGUCGGUAAAGGAUUUGGAGUCGUAACAUGUAAAUAAGCUAGAAAUCGUCAGCGUCAUCGUCACGUCUUCGUCACGCUAUUCGGGCCGCCCUGUGUGUAGAUGGGAAUAAAAGCAGGUCGCUUCCGUGUCCGUGCCUCAGAAGGACAGAGCAUUCUCUCAGUACAGCGAAAGAAUGAAAGUAAUGCUGAUAAACCUCUUUAAACAUUCCUGGAACCUGAUUUUCUGCUAAUGAACAAUGCUAACUGUUGACCAUUUACACAUCAGUGUCCUCACAUGGACAUGAUUUAAAGGACAUCGUCAUCGUCUGAGCUGGAGGCUUUACUGAGCUCUUUACGGUCCAUAAAACCACAGAAUCUGAGCAUCACUCUGAAUUCCAGUUCUCCCAGUAUGGAGAGUUAUAUUGGUUCCUUCCACUUCCUGCAGUUUGACCGUCUCGUCUCCAGCCGCACACAAAAAGUGGACUGAACUGGAUCUUUCCCUGUCGCUGGAGUGGAGAAAAACACCUUCUGUACCUUCAGGUGUGUCUCUAAACAUUACUCUCAAAGCUAAUUAAUGUACAUGAGAGUUUCUUAAACUAAUCAUGUUCCUCAGAUCAAUUAAAAGUAAAAUACACUCAUAUAAUAAAAAAACCACACACUACAGGAAUAAAUUAUGUGCUGUAGAGAGUCCCACCUCAGUGACAGUGAAAAGUGCUGUUCAGUGUUUAUUCUGAGAGUUUAAUAGAAAGGAAACUAAACAGGUUCCUGUGUUUGGCUUUUGUUUGAAAAGUCAAAGUGCUGUGAAACAGGAGCUUUUCAGAGGACUCAUUAACACCAGCUCUAAACUGCUGUAGCACUGUUCAGCUUAACACUGAGCAAAAUUCACUCCAUCCAACACACCAAGUAUUACACUGACUUUCACAACCCACUUUCCCCUUCUUCAGGACGGACUUCUUUUAUAAAACUCUGUAGAUUUACAGUUACACUUUCUUCUGUUGUGAAGGAAAGGUGUAAACUUACAGCA